CCUACGGGAGGCAGCAGUGGGGAAUAUUGCACAAUGGACGAGAGCCUGAUGCAGCCACGCCGCGUGAAGGAAGACGGGUUUCUGCUCGUAAACUUCUAUCAACAGGGACGAAAGACAUGACGGUACCUGCAUAUUACACCCCGUCUAACUACGUGCCAGCAGCCGCGGUAAUACGUAGGGGGCAAGCGUUAUCCGGAUUUACUGGGUGUAAAGGGUGAGUAGGCGGCAUGGUAAGCCAGAUGUGAAAGCCUUGGGCUUAACCGGAAGAUUGCAUUUGGCACUAUCAAGCUAGAGUACAGGAGAGGAAAGCGGAAUUCGUGGUGUAGCGGUGAAAUGCGUAGAUAUCAGGAAGAACCCCAGUGGCGAAGGCGGCUUUCUGGACUGAAACUGACGUUGAGGCACGAAAGCGUGGGGAGCGAACAGGAUUAGAUACCCGGGUAGUC
Molecule: ribosomal RNA, 443 nt
Filed under: uncultured bacterium
Lineage: Bacteria
Description: partial 16S ribosomal RNA
Rfam family: Bacterial small subunit ribosomal RNA
Source: RNAcentral